CGGAUGGGGGGAGAGGCCAUACAGUGCCCAUAUGUGCCCCCAUAGCCAUGUCAGGGACAGGAAGAGAACCUCGCCCUAACAUGAGCAAGAUCGAAGGCCCGAUUAUUUGUAGAUCGGAUGGGGAGAAAGGCCAUGCAGCGCCCAUAUGCGCCCCCACAGCCAUGUUAGGGACAGGAGGAGAACCUCGUCCUAACAUGAGCAAGGUUGAAGGCCUGAUUAUUUGUAGACCGGAU
Molecule: long non-coding RNA, 233 nt
Filed under: Elaeis guineensis (African oil palm)
Lineage: Eukaryota; Viridiplantae; Streptophyta; Magnoliopsida; Arecales; Arecaceae
Description: long non-coding RNA (EGUI_LNC076150)
Source: RNAcentral